This 4750-nucleotide long non-coding RNA is filed under the name Setaria italica (foxtail millet). RNAcentral's name for it is "long non-coding RNA (SITA_LNC006162)". Lineage: Eukaryota; Viridiplantae; Streptophyta; Magnoliopsida; Poales; Poaceae. The record is from RNAcentral.
UUGUAUUCAGAAAGUCUUUUUUACACCAAAUAACCCACUUUGCCACUUAACCCUCCAAACAAAUGUAGAUCUGAUGAUACAGUUAUGUGAAAAUGCACAUCAACUUUGUGUGAUUAUUUCCAUUUGCAAGAAUCGAAAGCUUGAAUUAGCCUCCAGGUCGGUCAACGGAACAGACAAUUAACAUUAAAGGAAGAGACCAGUUUGUGCUAGAGUACAACACUGCAGUAAAGCGUACAGCAGCUAAAUCCCCACCUAGCAUAGAAUCUUGCAAAGCUUGAAAGGGGCACACUUAUUUUGAUUGGUAGCAACCCGCACACAAACUGCCAUAGAAUGGCGGCCAACUCUGUAAGAGUCGUUCUCCUCGACCAAAAGCAACAAAUCAUGGCGGGCCCUAUGACCAAAGCUAGUCAAUUGCGGUAGUCGUCUUGCUUGUACAGUUGCACUAACGACCAAGCCAUGGAGAGUUAGACUUGUCAUGCCACGACCGAUUGUCUCGGUAGUACGCCUUCAUUAUGCCCUGAUGAUGCAUGCAUUAGGCAUUUGAGUUCACUGAAUAUAAUUUCUUCCAUUAGAAGAAAACAAAUGGAAUAAAUGUUAAAACAAGUCAAACAAAUGGAAUAAAUGUUAAUUUCUUCCACUGAGCAAACUAGCAAGAGCUCAAAAAUAAAGUAGCAAUUAAUUUUAGUGGUUUACCGUGAUUUUACUAGAAGGAUUUCAUCCUAUACAGUUCAAUGGCCUACAGACCAUAUGGUUUUGUCUACACAGCUCGCCCAUCCCACCCCACCCCGGAUCAACAACCACCAAGUGAUGCUUUUUCUAAAGCUAUAUAUAUACACGGUCUUAGGGCUCUCCGGGACUCCAAACUGUACCCCGAUACCUUCAUUAGAGUGAGGUAGAGAAAGAGAACUAGGGCUCUCCCACUCUGAUAAGAUUGUGGGCGAGGAAACCAUAGCUGCUACCGACAUGGUUUGGGCAUGUCACACCCGGUUUUGAAACAAAACCAAGUGCUACCUAUAUUUAUGUCAGGAUUAGUUUCAUACAUAUAGUGACAUCAUUAGUGAAUAACAAUAACUAUAUCACAUGAAAAGAUAUAGAGUCCAUCAGAGAUUUACAGCUUAAUCCGGGAAACGAAGGUUCCAAACUUCACAGGCAAUCGAUCAGGGCUUGCGUAUGCCUAGAACUCAACACCAUCUUCACAACAACUUCAUAGCAGCUUCUUCUGAGUAACGUUGGUUAUAGCAAGGGUGAGCAUUUGUAAUACUCAGUGAGUGUGGGGAACAUAUGAAUGCAAGGCUUAAACAAGGAAAAGGUUGACUAGUUGACUGCAUUAGACAUUUUUAGUUGGUCAAAUUUUAUUAGCAUCUGAACCCAAUCAAUUUACAAACCACACACCAACGCGAAGCAAUACAAGCCACCAAGCAUACAUGAUGUAGGGUAUUGCUCUCCGGAGGUUCGAACUUAUCUUAAAUCCUAUUGUCUCUUAUGUUCUCACGAUCACAUUCGAGUUCUUGGUUUCGCAACCUCCUCCACCUACAAAUCAACCACUUGGGUAACUCCCUGGUGGACUGUUGGGCUUAUAAAUCUAACAACAUUAGUCAAAUUAACAUUAGUAUGAAAACACGGGGUUAAACUCUAAUUAGAUUUUAAUUAGAAAAACAACUAUGUAAGUACUUAAUCAUAUUUAGUAUUUAAAAGAAAUUACAAAACAGGGAAUAUGAUUGAAAUUGCCUCUAACACGUAUUUUAAGUUGAUAUGAAUCUAACACAACAAGAACCGAUUGAAACGGAGCUAAAACGUAGAAUCUAUUUGCUAAACAAGCCGCAGGUGUCUAAACGUGAUUAACCGAAGGUGACAGGGGCCAACAAGGAAGUUUUAUAAGACACUAUAAAUACUGCUCACAAAAUUGAUAAGGCUCAGGGUUAGAUCUACUAAAAGUCACGGCUUCGAUUAGUUUGCAAAGAAUCUUAAGCUUCUAGGGGUUAUCAGCAAAUUUACCAAGACACAAAGAAGAAACUAAGGAUUACAGAAUAGACCGGGUGUCUAUCUGCAAAAGCUCAAAGCUGGCUAUGGCGGAUGGGAGGUCUGGGCUUUCCAGUCGCCGGCGCAGUAGAACGAAAUUAAGUGCUCAAGUGUACGAGUCACCAUCACAUGGCAGUUUUUAUGAUACCCUCGAAGCAAGAUAAGUACUUACCACAAAAUACUACACAUGCACGUGUUUCGUGAUGUAAGCAUAUAUGCCGUCACCAAAUCAAUGUAUAUAAGGUAAUAAUUCACGCUGUGUUUAAUUUUUUCCACGCUUCCAUAUAGCCUCCAAAAGGCAUGUCUAGUCAUGGUCACUCUAACGAAACUAUCCGUAUACUUUUCCGUGUUGCUUAACUUCACACAUUCUAUAGCUCUCAACAACCACCGGGCGUUGCUUUUUCCCUACAUAUACAUACAGCCUCAGGGUUCUCAAGGACACAAACUGUGUACAUUCCAUUGGAGUGAGCUAGGUAGAGAAGUGUACAGAGCCUUCAGAAACCAAAUCUGCAGCCAACAUGGAUGUGGCACCGAGUCCUCCCACACCCAGUCCCUAUACCAAAGAUCAGUGCCUUAAAGAUAAUGCAGAUAGCGUAAAAUUUUUUGUCAUCCUGGCCGUUCUCGCCAUGUUCCUCCUGCACGUACUGGGUUCCUUACGCCGGCGGUCGAGCCACACGCUCCUCCAUUCUAUCGUGAUGGGAGUCUACACGCUCUCCUAUCCGCUGGUGGGCUAUACCGUUGGGCUGAUGAAAUCUUCCAAUUUCUACUACGAAGACUUCACUGUGUGGGCAGUGUUCCUUCUUCUGCUCCUCGGCAGCACGGACAACCUCACGGUUUGCCGCCUUAGCGACAACGACAACUGGAAGAGCAUCCACUUCAAACACAUCCUUAAGGGAUUCUGGCUGGUGCUAAUCAUUAUGACGAUUACAAAUUAUGAGAAUAACAUCUACGGCAACAAACUUCUCUACAGGUAUCCGUUGUAUGCCAUCGUGUUGGUCGUCAUCCUCAAGGGGUAUGUGAGGAUCGCUUCCAUGAGGAUGGUGAGCAAAUCCUAUGUCUGCAAGAAGGUUAAGGUGAUCGCCGAAUAUAUGCAGCAGCAGCACAAGGACAACCUGGCGGUGCCCUUCGAUCCUGUGACCAUGGAAGGCUACCGGUACAUCGUCGCUGGCGAGAAGUACUGCAUCAAGCGGUGGUCUGGUUGCACACCAUGUUACAAGGGGGGCGACUUAAUGGUUAUCACCGUGGAGAAGAUCUGGCAGUGCACAGGGAGGCUGCUGGUCCAUGAGCGGGGCAAGGUGCUCAAGGACUUGUGCCUCUCUGUGGCACUCUCCAAGAUGCUCAACCGAAGGUUUAUUGGCUUCAGACUCUCAGAGGCGGGGCAUGAGAAAGCCCAUGACUUUGUGUUCAAAGGCCUGCUCGCCGGGGACAAGCCACAUCAGAGGGCCUUCAGGGUCAUCGAGGAAGAGCUUGUUUUUGUCCAUGACUUAUAUUACACAAGGUAUUCUUACCUUUACCAAAAGGGUCGAUACAUUGCCCUCUGUCUGCCCAUCGUCAUGCUUGGCUUAUGCUCGUGGCUCACCUAUCUGCUCGUCAAGUACUCCGAGAGUAACUCUGUGCAGGCUGCCACCUCAUUUGUAACUGUUGUCGUGGGAUUCCUGGAGGCAUGCCAGCUCUACCUGUACAUAUCCUCAGGUUGGUUCAAGGUGGCACUAAUACAGAGCUACAUAAACACACCAUUUUUGCGAAGAAGCCGUUGCCUUGAGUUGAUCAUAGGCCUUCUUUUGAGGUUGAAGGCGUUUGCACCAUGGAAACGCAAUCUUGGGCAGUACUGUAUCCUCCAGGAGGUUGGCCGCAAACAUAGGGUUAGGAAUUGUCUCCAUUAUGCUACGCUGCGCCUGCUGGACAAGGCUAGUAAGAAUGGACUUAAGAAAUCAGAAAAGGUGUCCGAAAAUGUGAAGAAAGCCAUCGUUGAUUCCCUGUUAGGAAGCAACGGCAACCUGACGAAUGGGGUAACAUCGCUGCAAAACAAUGGCGUCAAUUUUCUCUCAUGGGCAUGCGAUGCUAGUACUACUGACGGAGCGGUGGCUCGCACCAUUGUGGUCUGGCACAUUGCUACAACCCUGUGCGAGCAGAAGCUGAAUAAGCAAGCCAAAGAAGAAGACGCUGUCAAAACGGCCUCCACUUUAUCCAAGUACUGCAUGCAUCUCCUUGCUUUUGCACCUAACCUCAUGCCCGACCACAUCUUCAUAUCAGAAUCCAUACUUGAUCAGUCAAUCGACGAAGCAAGCAAGUUACUCAAAGACGCCAAGGACAAGAAGAUCAAGGGCAAGAACAAGAAGAUCGAGGGCAGGUGUGAGAUACUAAUGGAAAUUAACACCCAUGGUUGUGUUGGUGAUGAAAAAAAGCUUGUUGUGCAGGGCGUUCACCUUGCAAGGCAACUGAUUGAUAACAUACAAGACUUCAAUACACGGUGGAAGGUGCUAUCUCAUUUCUGGGCGGAGAUGAUGCUGUAUGUCUCGCCAUCCGACGAUGCUCGGGAGCACCUGGAAGUUCUUGCAAAAGGAGGGGAGUUCAUCACGCACCUUUGGGCGCUGCUCACGCAUGCCGGUGUGUUGAAGCGAGGACCUAUAGAGCCAAAGGAUGUUGUGUGAUCUGUCCAACCAGUGCACAAGUAACACUCCAUAUAUAUAUCAACCUGUGCUUGUAAGUUGUAACAUCCUAUGUAUAUUGC